CCUACGGGUGGCAGCAGUGGGGGAUAUUGCACAAUGGGGGGAACCCUGAUGCAGCGACGCCGCGUGAGCGAAGAAGUACCUCGGUAUGUAAAGCUCUAUCAGCAGGGAAGAAAAUGACGGUACCUGACUAAGAAGCCCCGGCUAAAUACGUGCCAGCAGCCGCGGUAAUACGUAUGGGGCAAGCGUUAUCCGGAUUUACUGGGUGUAAAGGGAGCGCAGGCGGCCUGCCAAGUCUGGUGUGAAAACCCGGGGCUCAACCCCGGGCCUGCAUUGGAAACUGGCGGGCUGGAGUGUCGGAGGGGCAGGCGGAAUUCCUGGUGUAGCGGUGAAAUGCGUAGAUAUUAGGAGGAACACCGGUGGCGAAGGCGGCCUGCUGGACGAUGACUGACGCUGAGGCUCGAAAGCGUGGGGAGCAAACAGGAUUAGAUACCCCAGUAGUC
This 440-nucleotide ribosomal RNA is filed under the name uncultured bacterium. RNAcentral describes it as "partial 16S ribosomal RNA". It matches the Rfam family "Bacterial small subunit ribosomal RNA", at positions 338 to 795 of the family's 1533-position model. The record is from RNAcentral.